GAUGAAGAACGCAGCAAAAUGCGAUAAGUAAUGUGAAUUGCAGAAUUCAGUGAAUCAUCGAAUCUUUGAACGCACAUUGCGCCCGCCAGUAUUCUGGCGGGCAUGCCUGUUCGAGCGUCAUUUCAACCCUCAAGCCCUCGGGUUUGGUGUUGGGGAUCGGCGAGCCUUUCUGGCAAGCCGGCCCCGAAAUCUAGUGGCGGUCUCGCUGCAGCCUCCAUUGCGUAGUAGUAAAACCCUCGCAACUGGAACGCGGCGCGGCCAAGCCGUUAACCCCCCAACUUCUGAAUGUUGACCUCGGAUCAGGUAGGAAUACCCGCUGAACUUAAGCAUAUCAAUAAGCGGAGGA
This 346-nucleotide unclassified non-coding RNA is filed under the name soil metagenome. Its description in RNAcentral is "partial contains 5.8S ribosomal RNA, internal transcribed spacer 2, and large subunit ribosomal RNA". The stretch from base 1 to 120 matches the Rfam family "5.8S ribosomal RNA", at positions 35 to 154 of the family's 154-position model. The record is from RNAcentral.